Molecule: long non-coding RNA, 791 nt
Filed under: Cricetulus griseus (Chinese hamster)
Lineage: Eukaryota; Metazoa; Chordata; Mammalia; Rodentia; Cricetidae
Description: lncRNA (ENSCGRG00015034117.1)
Source: RNAcentral
CAGGAAGUGGCCCUCUUUGCCUCCCCUCCUGCUCCAGCGGCACAAUGUGAUCCACCAGCAAGGAGGGAUGCCAAUAAGGCAUCCGAUAAGAUAAGUCAAGAGGCUAGAUAAACAACUUCCUACAGCUGCUACGACAUCGGGUGCGCAUCCGCAGCAGAAAGUGUGUGCCGUGGAGAUAAACACAUCAGGUACCCAUGUGUCUUCACCCUGAAGAUCUGGAAAUUAAUGCUUUAGUCAGAGUCAACUCCUCCUCCUUCCCUUUCACAGUUUUUAUGAUGCUGCCAGAAGUCUUCUCCCAUUUGCCUCAACUCAGUCUUCAGGGAAUCCCUCACUGCUCUCUGAAAGAUCUGGGAGAAUUGGAUGUAGAGUCCAGCCUGCCAUGAGUGUCCUACCAAGGCCUUUGCUUCUAAAGCAUGCUGAAGUUCCAGGCUCCUGCCAACAGUUUGCUUUAUUUCUGCUCAGUGAGAAUAAACGUCUGUUACACGGGUUCUCAGACAGACACAUCUUGUACUAAAUUCUACUCCUUAUAUCAGUUUCCACUGUGCAUCUGUUGUUAUCUUCUUCUCUCAAGACCAACCCAGACUACCACCAAGAUGAGCCUUUUGGGCUCAUACCCACGGUCUGCAAAGUGUAAUAAAUAUGUGAUGUGUAUGUAACAUGUCUUGAGCCUGGCAUGACUGGCCUCUCUGUUCUGCAUCUACCACCAACAUCCCAGGAGAAAAACGCUAAGCACCUUGUCUAGGGUCUCAAAGAUAGCAAGUGCCUGAGUCACAGACUCUGGCUCCAGAGCC